This is a long non-coding RNA of Mauremys reevesii (Reeves's turtle), 392 nucleotides long. RefSeq lists it as uncharacterized. The transcript is spliced from 3 exons. Lineage: Eukaryota; Metazoa; Chordata; Testudines; Geoemydidae. The record is from RefSeq and is a predicted model, not a curated record.
GGCCGCUUAGGCUGGGGAAGAGGGGGAGUCACGAGGGCACUGGCUGCUGCUACUGGGGAGGAUGCAGUUCUGGCACCCAGCCCUGUUCUCUGCUCUUACCAGACAUAGAUCUAAAUGCCUCGACCAAAACAGCACAGCACCUCAAGAGAACGGACAAAACUAAUAUCCAGUGUUUCUGGAUUCUAAUACCAUACUCGGUCAACUUGAUUACAAUGCGUAAAUAUGGUACACUGCAUCAGCUGUAAAAGUAGUACAGAUUAGUUUGAAAGCCUGUAUUCUCAAAUUUAAGAAACAAUGAUGGGAUUGGAAAACUGAUCAGCUGUUUUUAACUGACCUCUGGAAAGAUGUAUCUAUGCAUGAGCAUUGUUUUACUGUACGUUUUUUUUCAGUGA